CCACCGUGAUUCACACAUCCGAAUGCGCAAUUUCUCAUACAAGGCACGGUAACGCGCCAGGCCAGGCUGCUGCGUGCGCGUGCGCGAUGGCCUACCGAGGAGCGCUGCGGGAUGUCGGUAAGUUUGAAUCCACCAAAAAGAAACCCAACCAGAGCAAGAGCAAUCAUUGCAAGCAAUGAUAAAUAUUUUAGUGAACCAAUCCGCGGACUAGCUAGCAGAUUUGACCUCACAGCAGCGGUCACCUUGGGUAGUAUCUAUCAAUACUCAAAUCCGGCCAUGAAGGCUAAUGUGUUUGGUUUGGUUGCGAAAGAAAAUCAUAACAAUCCCAUGUGAAGUGAAUAAGUGAAUAAGUCCAAAAAGGGAUGUGCUAUGUGGUUUAAAUGUUUAUUGAAACACAAUGAAGUACACAUUAACUGGUUCAGUGAACAAAAAUUACAUUAUUAUGGGGUUUCUUCAACAAGAUAGAACCCCCUAUUACAAUUAUGAAGUAAAUAGACUAAGGAUAUGUUUCCAAGCCAUCGUUCUGCUUAGUGUGCCAUUCAAUAAACUUUGUGGACUUCCACUUUCGCAUCUGA
Molecule: long non-coding RNA, 575 nt
Organism: Thrips palmi
Lineage: Eukaryota; Metazoa; Arthropoda; Insecta; Thysanoptera; Thripidae
Exons: 2
Source: RefSeq, a predicted model, not a curated record